GGAGCGGGUGGUGGCUGGAGGAAGUUCUCUCUGACUGAGUCUAUUUCCUCAGUAAAAUCAAAGCAAGAUUAGCAGCCGUGAGGAAGGGCGCGGGAGGAGGUGUUGGGGACGACAAGAGAGAAGAUGUCGAACGGUCCUUUAGAGGAGUGGAACGGAAUUCACUCGGGAAGUGCAGUAGGACUUGGGCUUGGUUUCAGGAGUUUGUUGAGAGGAGACAGCCAGGCGGUGUGCUUCUUCCGCCACGUGCAGCCAGGUGGACGCAGGUGAGGGCGGGCGGGAGAGUUGUAUUUACCCAGCUUGCAAUGUGCAGGUGCACACACUGAUGGGUGCGGGUGCAAGGGAGUUGAGGCCGAGUCAUUAAAAUGAUGGAGCCUGGACUUUAAGCUGCGGAAGGAGGGACAGGACGGCCACAGGGAUGGGUGAUGCAAUCCAUGAAUAAUUAACUCCCUGUGGGGGGCCAACUGCUGCGUUUGGAGUAUUGACUUUCUUUUUAAAAUUUCAGCCGUCUUAUUCCCCCCCCCCCAAGGGCACCGACUCUCCGAUUCUCCUCCUCUUCCGUCCUCAAUACUUCUGUCGUCGUUUUCACAGGUGGAAUAUCUUCUAACAUCUUCAAGGAGUUUAUCUGUCAGGGAGGCCUGGCGGCCGGAGGAUUUGGAUUUCCAAGCAGCUCCACGCACAGAGUGCUGUCCACCAAACACUGUAUUUCGUGCUUCGUUCGUGCCACACCCCGGGGACGUUUCCGAAGAGAAGGACAACUUUGCAGCCCUUUGGAGUGACUGCCUCUCAUUCUCACGUCCCAGCUCUUGGUGGUUCCUGCAUUGAAUUCUCACAACCUGUGAUGUCGACAUUAGUCUCCCAUUUUUCAGAUGAGGCAGUUGAGUCUUAGAGAGAUGAAGUGACUUACCGAUAUCAUCUAGAUAGAUGGGACAGAAUUCGGUUUGGCCCUGAUCUGCCUUCAAAGCCCAGGCCCCACCUUGGAGAGAGAAGCAGUCAAAGCCCCUUGUCUCUUGAUCGUCUUUCACAUCUUCCAGACAGCUCUGCCUUGGGAUCGUCCUCUGCAGGCCAAGUGGCUCUGGUCAAAUCUUCUCCAAUGAGGAAUUACCUAUCCUAACAAGACAGGGACCUGGGUCUCCCGGCGGCCAGUGAGGUGAUUUUCUGCAUUCCUCCUCACUUUCUCCUGUGCAGCUUUGUCAUCAGGGGAUCUGGAUCACAUUAUCC
Non-coding RNA from Delphinapterus leucas (beluga whale), 1218 nucleotides. Lineage: Eukaryota; Metazoa; Chordata; Mammalia; Artiodactyla; Monodontidae. The record is from RefSeq and is a predicted model, not a curated record.